AGGCCCAUCGUAUAGUGGUAGUACAGAGGUCUCCAAAACCUCUGGCGGGGGUUCGAUUCCUCCUGGGCCUGCCA
This 74-nucleotide transfer RNA is filed under the name Patescibacteria group bacterium. RNAcentral describes it as "tRNA-Trp". It matches the Rfam family "tRNA". From Rfam's summary of the family: Transfer RNA (tRNA) molecules are approximately 80 nucleotides in length. Their secondary structure includes four short double-helical elements and three loops (D, anti-codon, and T loops). Further hydrogen bonds mediate the characteristic L-shaped molecular structure. tRNAs have two regions of fundamental functional importance: the anti-codon, which is responsible for specific mRNA codon recognition, and the 3' end, to which the tRNAs corresponding amino acid is attached (by aminoacyl-tRNA synthetases). tRNAs cope with the degeneracy of the genetic code in two manners: having more than one tRNA (with a specific anti-codon) for a particular amino acid; and 'wobble' base-pairing, i.e. permitting non-standard base-pairing at the 3rd anti-codon position. The record is from RNAcentral.